Molecule: long non-coding RNA, 1075 nt
Organism: Pogoniulus pusillus (Red-fronted tinkerbird)
Lineage: Eukaryota; Metazoa; Chordata; Aves; Piciformes; Lybiidae
Exons: 3
Source: RefSeq, a predicted model, not a curated record
CUGCUCCAGCCUGCAAACCUGGAUCCUGUUUCACUCAGGUGGCUGACCACUCUGAUCUUCUCAGACAACGCGCUCAAUCUGAGCUACACAAGCAGCAAAGCCUCAUCUCAUCAUCACCACGUGGAAGGCCACCAUGUGGCUGGGACUAUGUUUUUCCUGGUUUAUACUUCUAUGUAUACCUUUGGAUUACAAAUAUUGAGACUCUAACCAAAAGGAUUGUAAAGCAUUGGAAUGGGCUGACCAAAGAGGUGAUUGAGUCACCAUCCUGGGAGGUAUUUAAAAGGGUGAAGAAAUCUGAGCUUCAGAGAAAGGUUCCUGUGUAGUGCUCAUUUGUUUACAGUUGGAAGCAACAGGCUUUUCUCACGGGCCCUUCAAAAUCCUCUGCAAAAGAAUCCAAUGCUUUUCCCUGUAUCUUCUCCCUCAUGUUCUCUUAACAAGGGUGUUUUUGCAGUACUGGCUUGAGCAUGGAAGAAGAAUGCUGGACUGAACAGUGGAUCAGUGGAUAGCAGCCUACAGGCUGGGGUAGUGAGGAGCUGGAUAAGGAAGAGAAGUCUGAGGUAAGUUAUGUCUGAACCUGAGGACUCAAGCUGUUUUUACAGACCUACAAGUCUCCUGCACUGAUCAAGAUAGCUGAGAAACCUGAAGCCCUGGAGUAGCAUUAGCUUCUGGCUGCAGAAUGUACUCAUUGUGCUCUUGCUUUUUCUGAUGGGGCUGCUGGUACAGCAGGACCUUUUGUUGGGAUGUUGCUUAGUUCUUUUGGGGAAUCCUUCUGCUGGUGGAAAUGAUGUCCCUCCCCUCCUCCAGGAGCAAUCUACAGUCCAUUAUAUUUUGCAUUUAUCCAAAUUGAUGUAUAAGUGUGUCAUGGUAGGCCUGAUAGGCCCAAAAUAGGCUUAUCCAUGCCCUGGCCUGCCCAGACAUGUUUUUCUGCUCUCCCUCCUUCUGUUAUGGGGAAAAGCAACUGCGGGAAAGAGGACAAAGAACCUGUAGCUAUUGAGUCUAAGGACUAUGGCCUGCCCAGACUUGUUUACAUCCUCUGGUAAACAAGGUACACGUGCUUAGCUUGUGCUAAGCAUGC